AAAAUUACUUUCGUGACAGAAACGUUAAGAAUUCUUGACAAUAAGAUUAAAUAAAUGGCUGACAAAAAGUUUAGCUAUAAAUAAAUAAAGAAAAGGGUAGCAGAAAUCUAUUACUAGGAAGUGCGUAUGGGACUCCUCGUGGUCAGGAAAGGAAAUCAACCAGGUCUUUUCUGCGCGAAAUGAAGGUACAGCUCGAUUUGUGCAUUUUGUUCUUUCAUACGAAAUUCAUUCACAUCUCUUUUACGGUUAUAAGAUUCAUCACACAGGAGACGGUUACGGUAAUUUCAGUGUCGCGAGACCGCGUUCAACGUACAUAUAAAAGUUGUAUGCAGCGAUUCGAUGGGUGCUGCUUGUUUCGGAAGAAAAAAUGUUUCCGAGGAUUUGUCGGUUUAUCAGAAGUCGAGCAAAUGGUUCCUUACCAUACACAUCUAUUGUGCACACGCGCAGUUUCACGUUAUAGCGGAUUUCUUUUUCUUUGGUUUCCUUUUUCUCUCUCUUUUUUUUUAGAAAAUUUCAAAAAGUUCGCCGUUAUAUCUGUGUAACAACAAUUUCAUACAGAUUUUUCUUAAUACUCAUGCAAUAUUUAUCACAGCGCCAUCGUGGUUCAUUUCAACGUAACUGAUUUUUAAAAAAGAAAAUGCACACAGAAGUCUACAUAUAACAUAAGUAUCUUAAAAUUGAAACACGAUAUUUAUUUCAAGUUUGCAUUUUAUCUAUCGAUUUUCAGAAAAUAAUGUAGAGAUAUAAAAUAAAAGAUAUGAAAAUAUUUUAUCUUACAUUUAUCGCGUUUCAAUAAAUGAAGUAUUCGGUAGGAAAUAGUUGCAGUAGAGCUUCUUGAAGCUGUCAUAGUAACACGUGCUGUACCAUAGUAAUAUGUGAUAUCGAACUGCGAAGGCGCUGUGUUCUUACCUAAUUUGCUGAUCAACCUUACUUGUGGUUAAUACGAGUCUUCACAUUGUACACGAUCAUAAAGUUUUAAAUCUAACAGCUUAGAUUAAUAAAUAUAAAACAGAUAGGAAUAAUUGUAAUUUAUAUAGGAAUUACAAUGGCGUCACUGUGGCAUUUAACGUGUCAAUAAUCUAUAUUAUCGUGUGCCGUAUGGCUAUUUCCACCGAGUCGGUCAAUAUAUUAAUAAAUUAGGAAGGGUGUGCGGAUAUAGCCAAGAUAACGGCUUCGGAACGGGUCGGAAAAAUUCGGUGGAGAUCGGGUUGUGACUCAAUUUGGAUACUAGCGUGAUUCAAUUCGAUGUAAUUUUGGCAGGACUCAAUUCGAAUUCGUCGCUUUUGAAUUUGGCGCGCUACGGUCAUUCAAGAUGGUCGCCCGAACUUUUCCGACUCCAUCCGAAACUGGGACUAAGAACCACCCUUUGUUAAAAUUUUUCUACAAAAAUAAUACAAAUUAUAGUGUACAUGAAAGUACAAUUUGCAGUAUACUUAAAGAAUGUAGAAUAUGAUCGUGUAUAGCGCGAACGACAUGUUACAUAUUCGGUUUUCCUCCCUAUCAUUGAACACGUAUUUUCUCUCUGAGGCAAAGUAUUCGUUGCUUUUCACGGUCGAGAAACUUUAGGAUACUUUGCAAGGAACACUCGCAAUCGUGGUGGCAGAUGUAAUUACAUUUGUAAUACGAGAAAUAGGCCUGUAUGUACUAUUGCUAGUAUGUUUUCGCGAUUGUGAGUAAAUUUGAUUGUUCUGUACUUUCAUAAGUCCCAUAAAGUCUGCAAAAAUAAUACAAACUAAUGAUAACUUGUAGGGUGAACCUAAGUUGUAAGAUUAGUUGUGAACUAUUUGUUACAUGAAUAAUUAUUAUUACUUGUUAUAUGAACAUUUGUUAUAUGGACAUUUGUUAUACGUCCCUGUGGGGUGUGUUUUAAAACACAGUCAGACCGAAGAUGUUAAAGAAGGAUAUCUCGGUUAUUAUUAAUUUUUGAACCUGUAUACCCCAGUACUUUUUUAUUAGGAAUUCAACACUCUUUUUAAUUACGCUAUUGAACUAUGUUACUAAUAAAAAACUCAAGGUUUCUGAUGAAAGACUAAAAUAAUAAUAAAUUGAUCUUAGUUGAAGUUUAAUACUAAAAUACCGAAAUGUUACAGAACGAACAGUAAUUAAAUUUCUGUGUGUGCUUUGGUAGCGAUGACGUGUUCGGCGACCAUCCGCAAAUGGAAUUAUGUGAUAAUUUUAGAGAGUGGCAAUUCGCUAUCCCCGAUAACGAGCGAUACAAAUAAAUUGACCUCAGAGAGAAACAGAGACAGAUAAACACGACGAGGAAGAUACAGAAAUAAAGGGGUUCCAUAUUCCAAGAACCACCUAGGAAAUUGACAUUGCGCAGAGGGAUACACCCUAACGUUCGCAUACUUUUCUGCCUUAAAUCGCGAGUAAAAAUCUAUAUAGUUGUCUUUUGACGGUCAAAGGUUUCGCCUAUCAUUAGUGUGAUUUUGAUUGUACGCUAUAAAAAUUGUGUCGCUACGAUGGCAAGUCGUACGUCAAGCGUGAAAAAGUAUUCUCUUCAUUUUUUAUUUAUGUUAAUCAUUUAUAUAAGGUAUGCUCGUGUUUUUGUUGCAUUUGUAGCAUUCGUGCAGGAAAACAUUGUCUUACAAUUUUAUUCCACUGUAUUUUAACAGCGACUCUUUCGACUCUCGUUAUAUUGCCGAAAACGGAACUCGCAGAAGGGCUGUGUUUUAUUUCAAAUUUAUAAGUGUGGGAAUUUAGGAAGUUGUGUAAUAGAAUAAUUUUGAUUUUUAAUGGAUUUAUCGAAUGUUGUACAGUGUGAUAUUUUUCUCGUCCCCGAUUAGGGUGUACAGCUUCUAUGACGAAAAUUGCGAUUCGUGCUCGGCUGUAUCUGCCACGAGCAUGCAUCUGUCGUUAAUUCGUGUGUCACAGAGCGUUUCAAAGUCGCCUCGUUACAAGGGAGCAAUAUUGGAAAGUGCUACCACGGCUAACAAAGAAAUCGAUAACCUGUAUCCUCUCAAAGUACAAAAUCCAUUAGGUCGCUUAUAAGCGUGACAAGAUGCAAUGGCACGUAUGCGAAAAAAAUUAUUAAUAAGCGAUACAUUGAUUUAGAUGUGAUACGCUGGACCUUCAUAAUAUUUCGAUCAUACGAUCAGCUUUAAUCGCUUGAUGGUCUUUUGUAAAUAGAGAUGGAAUUGAGACUU
Molecule: long non-coding RNA, 3149 nt
Organism: Megachile rotundata (alfalfa leafcutting bee)
Lineage: Eukaryota; Metazoa; Arthropoda; Insecta; Hymenoptera; Megachilidae
Source: RefSeq, a predicted model, not a curated record